UCUUGGGCUUCACGCAUGCUACAAUGGCCGGUACAAAGGGCUGCGAAACCGCGAGGUGGAGCGAAUCCCAAAAAACCGGUCUCAGUUCGGAUUGGGGUCUGCAACUCGACCCCAUGAAGUCGGAGUCGCUAGUAAUCGCAGAUCAGCAACGCUGCGGUGAAUACGUUCCCGGGCCUUGUACACACCGCCCGUCAAGUCACGAAAGUCGGUAACACCCGAAGCCGGUGGCCCAACCCUUGUGGGGGGAGCCGUCGAAGGU
This 259-nucleotide ribosomal RNA is filed under the name Terrabacter tumescens. RNAcentral describes it as "partial 16S ribosomal RNA". It matches the Rfam family "Bacterial small subunit ribosomal RNA", at positions 1207 to 1463 of the family's 1533-position model. Lineage: Bacteria; Bacillati; Actinomycetota; Actinomycetes; Micrococcales; Intrasporangiaceae. The record is from RNAcentral.